NCUAUCGUAUCAAGCGGGACUUGCUUCAGCCUUGCAACGUCCGCAUGGGCAGCAGCGCACGGCAUCUAUUACUGGGCGUUGGGGCCGGUGCUGGGCAUGCAUCGACGGAGCAUUUGGACGCACAGCGCGUGAGUUGCGUUCGGCACAUGCUGUUAGGUUACAUCACUGCUCGAGCAGCGACGUCCUGACCCUCCUGCCAUCUCAGUCGCGGGGCAAGCGCAAUAUAGGCUUGCUCCAAGUCGGUUUCCUGUGCUGCAUGCAUUAUCAAGUUUUAUCGAUCGCCUUUUGCCCCUCGUAUUUCGUGCGCGGGGCGAAUCGAAUGGCCGCCCUCGCAUCCCACGCCUCCCUCGCUUGGGCAUGGGGCCUUCAUCGUCUCCUAUCUGCCCCGUACGACGCUCCUUGCAAACGACGGUCGCGCUCUCCUUGAAUCCGUCUGCGCCCUCGCGGGCAGGCCGGGCUCAUGCGACGCCGGCGUCGAUGAGGAAUGCUACCUGGUUGAUCCUGCCAGUAGUCAUAUGCUUGUCUCAAAGAUUAAACCAUACAUGUGUAAGUAUGAACAAAUUCAGACUGUGACACUGCGAAUGGCCUGCCAUGGUGGUGUCUUUGUCAAGAUGUUGCUAGGAUUCCGCCGGCACCUUAUAAGAAAUCAAAGUUUUUGGGCUCCGGGGGGAGUAUGGUCGCAAGGCUGAAACUUAAAGGAAUUGACGGAAGGGCACCAGCAUGAGUGGAGCCUGCGGCUUAAUUUGACUCAACACGGGGAAACUUACCAGGUCCAGACAUAGUAAGGAUUGACAGACUGAGAGCUCUUUCUUGAUUCUAUGGGCGGUGGUGCAUGGCCGUUCUUAGUUGGUGGAGCGAUUUGUCUAGUUAAUUCUGUUAACGAACGAGACCUCAGCCUGCUAACCAGCCAUGCGGAGCUAUCCCUUCGCGGCCAGCUUCUUAGAGGGACUACGGCCUUUUAGGCCGCGGAAGUUUGAGGUAAUAACAGGUCUGUGAUGCCCUUAGAUGUUCUGGGCCGCACGCGCGCAACACUGAUGUAUUCGACGAGUUUAUAUCCUUGGCCGACAGGCCCGGGUAAUCUUUGAAAUUUCAUUAGGAUGGGGAUAGAUCAUUGCAAUUGUUGGUCUUCAAUGAGGAAUUCCUAGUAAGCGCGAGUCAUCAGCUCGCGUUUACUACGUCCCUGCCCUUUGUACACACCGCCCGUCGCUCCUACCGAUUGAAUGAUCCGGUNCAAUUGAAUGAUCUGGUGAAAUGUUCGGAUCGCGGCGAUGUGGGCGGUUAGCUGCCCGCGACUUCGCGAGAAGUCCAUUGAACCAUAUCAUUUAGAGGAAGGAGAAGUCGUAACAAGGUUUUUCGUAGGUGAACCUGCGGAAGG
Molecule: ribosomal RNA, 1375 nt
Filed under: Capsicum baccatum
Lineage: Eukaryota; Viridiplantae; Streptophyta; Magnoliopsida; Solanales; Solanaceae
Description: SSU rRNA
Rfam family: Eukaryotic small subunit ribosomal RNA (bases 489-1375)
Source: RNAcentral